AUUGAACGCUGGCGGCAUGCCUUACACAUGCAAGUCGAACGGUAACAGGUUAAGCUGACGAGUGGCGAACGGGUGAGUAAUGUAUCGGAACGUGCCCAGUCGUGGGGGAUAACUGCUCGAAAGAGCAGCUAAUACCGCAUACGACCUGAGGGUGAAAGCGGGGGAUCGCAAGACCUCGCGCGAUUGGAGCGGCCGAUAUCAGAUUAGGUAGUUGGUGAGGUAAAGGCUCACCAAGCCGACGAUCUGUAGCUGGUCUGAGAGGACAACCAGCCACACUGGGACUGAGACACGGCCCAGACUCCUACGGGAGGCAGCAGUGGGGAAUUUUGGACAAAGGGCGCAAGCCUGAUCCAGCCAUGCCGCGUGCGGGAAGAAGGCCUUCGGGUUGUAAACCGCUUUUGUCAGGGAAGAAAAGGUUCUGGCUAAUACCUGGGACUCAUGACGGUACCUGAAGAAUAGGCACCGGCUAACUACGUG
Molecule: ribosomal RNA, 477 nt
Filed under: uncultured bacterium
Lineage: Bacteria
Description: partial 16S ribosomal RNA
Rfam family: Bacterial small subunit ribosomal RNA
Source: RNAcentral